GCGUCCGGACUGACAGGGGCAGGGGUGGUGGGAAUCUGUGAAAGCCACGUGGGGCAGCGCGGCCCAGUAAGCAGAGGAGAAAAAUGAGGAGAGUGCGAUCCUCUGAGAAUAAUAAGCCACGUGGGGACAUCUCCUGUAUCACAGGCUACUGAAGUGCAAGGAAAAUGAGGACUGACAAAGGAUCUGGAUUUAGCAAUGUGGGAAACUGGCUUUCUGAUUUUUGGUGAAGUUGUGAGAAGAGGAAGAGUAUGUAAAGGAAAUUUUACCCAAAAGGCAGAGGAACUGAAUACUGCUAAGAGAAUUGUAAAAAAUUUACGUGUUUAUUUCUUACUGUAUUUGAAGGCAGAGAGACAGAUCUCCCACCCUUUGGCUCAUUCCCUGAAUCCCUUCAACAGCCAGGGCUGGGCCAGGCUGAAGCCAGGAGCCCAGCAUUCCACCCUAGUCUCCCAUGGGGGUGGCAGGGACUCAAGUACUUGAGCCAUCUGCCACCUCCCAGGGUGCACUUAGGAAGCUGGAGUGAAAGAGGAGCUGGGACUCAAACCAGGAACUUGAUAUAGAAUGCAGGCGGUCCUAGAUGUUUCUUAACCACUGGGACAAACGCCUGCCACAGAAUUUUAUUUUUUAAGGUUCGGCUCAUUCAUAGCAUGCAUGUGUAUGAAUGAGGGGUGACAGGGCAGAGGGAGAACACUACAGGGGAGCCGAGACUUCUGGGUUCUGGUAGGAUGGCACGAGGAAGCCAGAUUCUCUCUCUACAAAACUAUGAAAAGCAGUCGCUUUGGUGUUUUGGAUUACCGACCACAAGUCCUACAACAAUCGGAGAGGCAUUUACCGGUGCGAGGCACUGCCUCUGGGUCAGCACAGUGCUAGCCGCUGACUUUCUGGCCCAGGCUUGCUCCUGUCUCCCCCACUCUAGUUUGGAGGAUCUAGUUCAGCCAGGCUGGCAAAGCUGCUGACUUACUGUGUUACGAUCUUCCUACAAGCAAAGUCCGGGCCCCGGUGGCGUCAAUGUGCGAUUUCUAGCAAAUAUUUAAAUCAGAAAUUGCUCCAAGCCUUCACAAACUUCCAUUUACUGCCUCCCACGUACAGUCACUCUGGAAGACAGUUUGGCAGUGUUUUAUGAAUUAAAAACUUACCGCCCAGCCCAGAACUCACACAACUAGGAACUUCUGUAAAUAGACUGAAAACUUACAUCCACAGGGAAAUACCCACGCAAAUGUUUACGGCACGUUUAUUUACGAUCGCCAAACGCUGGAAGCGACUGAGAUGCCCUUCAAUAUGCGAAUGGAUCAACAGCUGUGCUACACCCAUAAAAUGAAACACUAUCCAGAGAUUUUAAAAAACAAAACAAGCCGUUGACUCAUGCUGCAGGGAUGAGAGUUAAAGCAUUUGGUGAGUGAAAGAAGCCAGAUCCUAAAAGUUACAUAUUAUGUGAUUCCAAAAUUCCCGACAUUCUGGAAGAGGCAGGACUGCAGGGAAGGAAACAGAUGAGCGGUUGCUGGGGCUGGGGAGGGAGCUGUUUCUACAAACCAGAUGCACAGCGGAACUUUAGGGCACAGAACGGUUCUGCCCAGCACCACUCAGGAAGUCACUGAUUUACCUGGAAAUGGGUACUGAGGGGCCAGGGUCACCAAGGAGAAUGCUGGUAAACAUGCCUCUGACCUGAGGAUCACAGCCACUCUCCCAAGCGGGAGUCAUGGCUGCACCUGCGCCAUAAGAUGUGACGAGUGGCACUCUGCCUCUGUGACGUUUCUCUCUAGAACCCAUGACUGCACGCUAACCAAGACAAGAACGCUGGGAAACCCGAGCUGAGAGACAGUCUACGUAAUACCUGACCAGCAUUCCUCAAAACUGGCAAAGUCUCAGAAAACAAGGAACGAUUCAAAGACCAUCAGAGAGCAGAGAAGCCACAUAAAUGCAGUGUGGUGUCCCGAGGCCAAUAGCAGGACUUUACCGGAAAAGCUAGAGAUCUGAAGGGGGUCUGCAGUUACCAGUGAUGUGUCUGUGUUGGUUUCUCCUAUUUGACAAACGUUACUUCAGUAAUGUAAGACGUCAACAUGAGAGAUGGGGAUUUGGCACAAUGGUGAAGACACUGUUGGGAUGACCCCAUCUCACAUCUGAAUGCCUCGGGUCAAGUCCUGGCUCUUCUCUCCAUUCCAGCUCCCUGCUGAUGCACACCAGGAUUCAGUUCCAUCCAGGCUCCUGGCUUUAGCCUGGAUCACACACACAGCUGUUGCAGUCAUCUGGGGAGUGAACCAGCAUAUGGGGGGGUCUCUAUCACUAACUCUCUCCGCCUUUCAAGUAAGUAAGAUAAAUAAGUUUUUAAAAUGUUUAAGGGGCUUGCACUGUGGUGCACUUGUGAUGCUGGCAUCCCACAUCAGAGUGCUUGUUUAAGUCUCGGCUGCUCCACUUCCAAACCAGCUCCCUGAUGUGCCUGAGAAGGCAGUGGUAUGUGGCCUGAGGACUUGGGUCCCUGUUACCCAUAUGGGAGACUCAGAUGAAGCCCCUGGCCCAGCCCUGGCUCUUGCAGCCAUUUGGGGAGUCAACCAGUGGAUGGAAUGUCACACUUUUUCUGUCACUUUGCCUUUCAAAAUUAAAUCUUUAUUUUGUUUUUCAAAAUAAAGAAAUCUUUUUUUAAAAAAAGCAAGCUCAUUCAUAUUCUUUCAUGCAGAAAUAAGCCCUAUGAACUCCACCCAGGAUGAAAACAAUGUUUCAGAAUCAACAUGUCAAUAUCACAUAUUUAAAAAAAUCAUUUAGUUAUUUGAGAGGCAGAGCCACAGACAGAGAGAGGUCUUUCAUACACUGGUUCAUUCCCCAAACACCCACUACAACCGGAGCUGGGCAGAUCUGAAGCCAGGAGCCAGGAGUCUCUCCCAGGUCUCCCACACAAGUGCAGGGCCCAAGGACUUGGGCCAUCUUCCGCUGUUUUCCCAGGCAAUAAGCAGAGAGCUGGAUUGGAAGAGGAGCAGCUGGGACAUGAACCAACGCCCAUGUGGUAUGCUUGCACUGCAGGUGGAGGCUUAGCCUACUAAACCAAGCGCAGGUCCCUGAUGAAAACAUCUUAAUUAUAUUAUGUGGAAUACAGACUGUUACAUUUACUAGUUCUGGCAGGUAGAUAGGCAGUACUGCUUUUAUUGACUUUUUUUAAAUUGAAAAGUAUACUUUGGGUGGACGUUUGACACAGAGGUUAAGAUGCUACUUUGCUGUUUUUCUUUAAGAUUUAUUUAUUUGAAAGGCAGAGCUACAGAGGGAGAGAUAUCUUCAAUCCAAUGCUGGUUUACUCCCCAAAUGGCCACAACGACCAGGGCUGUGCCAGGCUGACGGCAAGAGUCUCAAACUCCAUCUAGAAAACUCAUGCAAUAGAUGAUGCCAUUAAAAACGAAGGGACAUGGAGUACAGAUGCAUAAAGCCAACAGCCUGUUGAACAGGAGUCCAAGAACAUGAGGACGCCAAAAAUAAUCCAAGGAGUGGCACAAACUUCUCCCACGCUGAAGAAUGGUCUUCAAACACACAGGCGCGCCACGGCUGGCCGAGAGGCUCAUCCUCACAGAACCUCUAACACCAACGGUAAGAAAAUCUUCUGGGGCCAGCACUGCGGUGUGGCCUGGUGGGUAAAGCAGCCACCUGCUGUGCCCGCAUCCCAUAUGGACACAAGUUCGAGUCCCGGCUGCUCCACUUCCGAUCCAGCUCCCUGCUAAUGGUCUGGGAAAGCAGUAGAAGAUGGCCUGAGUAUUUGGGCCCCUGCACCCACAUGGGAGACCCAGAUGAAGCACGUGGCUCCUGGCUCUGGCCUGGCCCAGCCCUGGCCAUUGCUGUUACUGGAGAGUGAAGGAGUGGAUGGAAGAACUCUUUCUCUCCCCCUCUCCCUCUACAAUCGAUUUUCAAAUAAAUCUUACAAAAAAAAAAUCUAAGCCUCUAGUGACAAUCACUAUUUACAAUGAUAGAUCUUUUCACUUUGAAAAAGAUUUUAUUUCCUGAAAAGCAGAGUGACAAAGAGAGGGUGGGACAGAGAGCUGGUCCCUCUACUGGUUCACUCCUCAAAAUGGCUGCAACAGCCAGAGCUGGGCCAGACAAAGCCAGGAGCUCCAUCUGUGUCUCCCACAAGGGUGGCAGCAAUCCAAGUACUUGAGUCGUCAUCUGCUGCCCCCCAGGCUCAUCAGCAGGAAGCUGGCUAAGUGCACAGCAGCCGGAACUCCAACGGGCACCCUGAUCUGGGAUGUGGGCGUUCCCAGCAGCAGCUCAAUACUCACCCAGCAAAUGAUCUUUAUCGUGGGCAUGUGUCACCUCUGUGAUUAUUUAAAAUCUAACUAGAAACAGCAAGUCACAAAAGUUGUUUGCAGCACAUGAUUCAGAAUUAUCUCCCAAUAAGACCUCUGGAAGAGCAAUUUCAGAAAUAACGUCCCAAGGGAUGGAUCUGACCUAAAGAUGUCUGCUCAACGACAGCUAACAUUCGGGAUAGCUAAGACACAAAAAAAGGAAACAGAAAAUACCGUAUCCAGGGUAUGAGCAACACCCGUCCUGCACUGGACAGGGGCUGAGUCGUCGCAAACAGCCCCACACGUACUGGAAGCUCAAGUUGGAGGGAUGGAGGGGAGAGGAAGGCAGCAGCAGAGGCGGCCCCAGGAACCUGCAGAGAUUCUGCGCAACCAUCCCUCUGUGAUUCUGGCUGCCUUCUCACUUUAAAAGCACUUUACUCUUUUCUGAAGAUGGAAUAAAAGUAGCUUUCUGCAUGCUCCACAUUCCAUCGGCAGUCUCUCACUCUCGGAGGUGCAAGAACAGACACAUCAGGAUGACACGCAAGGCAGGCUUCCGGCCCCGUGUUGUCGGUAAGCAGCUGUCACGCAUGCUCUAUGUCACACAGAUACCAACAUUCAGAAGCCCUCGGGGUGGGGGGGCAGGCAUUUGGGGAAAAAAAAAAAUGUGUAGGGGCACUCGAAUCCGAUGGCCUCAUCUUCCUUAGCUUCUCUCCCCUGGCCCUUGUGCCCACACCCCCCGCCUCCAGAAGCUAUGGUAACUGCACACGCCAAGCGUUGUGUUCCCACGGCUAAGGCUUUCCCCUGUGGUCUUCUACGGCAGGAACACUGAUCUCCCCGGAUCCACCAAGAGCGAUAAAUUCAAAAUAUCUCACCUGCUUUCCAGGAAAGUCCACAUGGGUUUCCUGUAAGCCCAGACACCUGUGCCUAACCCGCCUACAAAUUUCUAACUGCAUAAAGAAGUAAAGUAACCACCAGAUAAGUGGCCAUCAAGGCUGUGUGACUUCUGAUUUGUCAGGGAUGACUCCCAGUAGCAGAGAUGCUGGGAGUCUCGCUCCUACUCCUCCUCCCAAGAAACCAGAAGACAACCACCCCACUUCUUUCAGGAGACAUCAGAAAUAGCUGUUAUUAACACAGGCACCUGUACAACUGCAUAGAUACGCUUCCACUGCAGUGUAAAUCUCAAGGAAUUUGCAUACAUACCCCAAUUCCUCCCUUUCUUCUUUCAAAAAGACUUAUUUAUUUGAGAGGCAGAGAGUUCACUCCUUAAAUGGCUGAUCCAAAGCCAGGAGCUAGGAGCCUCCUCUGGGCUUCCCACCUGUGCCAGGGGCCCAAGCAUUUGGGCCAUGCUCAGGUGCACUAGCAGGGAGCUGGAUCGGAAGUGCAGCAGCUGGGACUUGAACUGGCACCCAUAUGGGAUGCUGGCACCACAGGCAGAGGCUUAACCUACUAUGCCACAGUGUGGGCCCCAUCCCCUUUCUUAAAACCUGCUUUGGUUCUCUGGCCAUUGCAGCCAUCUCGGGAGUGAAUCAGCAGAUGGAAGACCUCUCUCUCUGCCUCUC
Non-coding RNA from Oryctolagus cuniculus (rabbit), 5812 nucleotides. The record is from RefSeq and is a predicted model, not a curated record. Lineage: Eukaryota; Metazoa; Chordata; Mammalia; Lagomorpha; Leporidae.